Molecule: ribosomal RNA, 448 nt
Filed under: Veillonella parvula
Lineage: Bacteria; Bacillati; Bacillota; Negativicutes; Veillonellales; Veillonellaceae
Description: bacterial SSU rRNA
Rfam family: Bacterial small subunit ribosomal RNA
Source: RNAcentral
GACGAACGCUGGCGGCGUGCUUAACACAUGCAAGUCGAACGAAGAGCGAUGGAAGCUUGCUUCUAUCAAUCUUAGUGGCGAACGGGUGAGUAACGCGUAAUCAACCUGCCCUUCAGAGGGGGACAACAGUUGGAAACGACUGCUAAUACCGCAUACGAUCUGACCUCGGCAUCGAGGAUAGAUGAAAGGUGGCCUCUAUUUAUAAGCUAUCACUGAAGGAGGGGAUUGCGUCUGAUUAGCUAGUUGGAGGGGUAACGGCCCACCAAGGCGAUGAUCAGUAGCCGGUCUGAGAGGAUGAACGGCCACAUUGGGAGUGAGACACGGCCCAGACUCCUACGGGAGGCAGCAGUGGGGAAUCUUCCGCAAUGGACGAAAGUCUGACGGAGCAACGCCGCGUGAGUGAUGACGGCCUUCGGGUUGUAAAGCUCUGUUAAUCGGGACGAAAGGC